GCCUUCGUGGUGUAGUGGUCAGCAUGCUCGACAUGCAAGCGAGAGAUCCGUGGUUCGAUUCUCGGCCAAGGCA
Molecule: transfer RNA, 73 nt
Filed under: Stegodyphus mimosarum
Lineage: Eukaryota; Metazoa; Arthropoda; Arachnida; Araneae; Eresidae
Rfam family: tRNA
About the family: Transfer RNA (tRNA) molecules are approximately 80 nucleotides in length. Their secondary structure includes four short double-helical elements and three loops (D, anti-codon, and T loops).
Source: Rfam by way of RNAcentral